CUCGCAGCUGUAAUUGGAUUGCUUCUAUUUGUUUUAUCUCCAGCUGUCUGCAUAUACAGAAAACUCACAGCCAGGACUCAAAACCAGAAUCCAGUCCAGGAGCAGAUUCAUCUUCCUACGGAAGGAGAGGUAGUCCUCCCUCAAUCGCAGGGUGUCGCAGACAGGCGGACAAAUAAAAAGUGUAGGAGUCAGUACAUGGAGAGGCUCAAUUCAAUCUAUGAUCGCUCCUAAAGUGACCAUUUAAAUGAAGAGAAAUGGACAAACCAGGUGUUUCAAUGGGAACCAAUCAGAAGGAGGACAACUGGGUCACUGAUGCCUUCGGUUGAUCUAACAUUAAUCCCAGUGCUUUCACUUUAAGACAUUUUAUUUUUAGCUUAUCUUUUAUAUUAAUGGUACUCUUUGUAUUUUAAUAUGUUCUUGUGUUU
This 425-nucleotide long non-coding RNA is filed under the name Cottoperca gobio. RNAcentral's name for it is "lncRNA (ENSCGOG00000021329.1)". Lineage: Eukaryota; Metazoa; Chordata; Actinopteri; Perciformes; Bovichtidae. The record is from RNAcentral.